This 1019-nucleotide long non-coding RNA is filed under the name Bos taurus (domestic cattle). RNAcentral describes it as "long non-coding RNA NONBTAT006154". The record is from RNAcentral. Lineage: Eukaryota; Metazoa; Chordata; Mammalia; Artiodactyla; Bovidae.
CAAGUACUUUUUUCCCUUGUCCUGAAGCAACCAAGAUUCAUGCUGCAACAUGUUUAUCAGAAACCAAAUACAGGAAAAAAGCUUUCAGAAUUGCUAAACUUUUUACAACUGUUUCUAUUUUGUUAGAAUUAGAAUCGUAAUGACCAAAGUUAAAAAGCUUGAAAGUUACACAGUUAAAUGACUAAUAAUUUAGUACAUUAGUCUAUGGGAAAUAUAUGGGAAAUUAGUAUAUAAGAAGAAUAAGUAUUUGUACAAUAACUGUCUUCCUAGCUUAAAAGUAUGAAAGAGCCCCUAAAUUACAUUUUUUUCCUUAGUACUUAUUAUUGGUACACUGUACUCAGAGUCUCAUAGUCAAGUUUACCAUGAACUCUAGCCUCACCUUUGCACUCUACAAUUUCCUUGAAUUAGGGUCAAGUUUACAGAUGUAUAAGAUAUACUUUUGUUUCAAAGAUAAUUCUACUGAAUAUAUCACCCAAGAAUAUUACCAUAAGCUGGAAAUCUGCUAGCAUCUAACUAGAGAAAUUCUUAAUACUGUUUUCUUCUUCUAGCAAAGUAUUUUCAAAUAGGUAUUUAAUAAUAAGCAGUUCUUAUAUAACUAAAACAUUAAGGCUGACUUUAGACCUCCUGGGUUAUAAUAACCCUUUGGAAUUCAGAAGGCUUAUAUACACCACAGUGUUAAGUGCUCCAGACAUCAAAGUGCCUGGAUUUUAUUGUUCUCGCUGAAUCACUGUAUUAUCUUGAUACUUUCUAGCAUUUUCAGUACAAUUAUUGAAACAGUUAUCAUGGCUCUAAAGGAAUGUAAUUGGAAAAGAAAGAUGGCCUGUACUGGAUGAAAUUCUUAAUUAGUCUUUCACUGUUAAAUUGUUCAAAAUUAAUCAAGUAUAUUGCCUAUAAGGAGGCAACCACACUUUACAUACCUCAGUAUUAUCAUCACCAAGUCAUAUAUUAAAAGUUAAUUUCUGAUUUAAAAGUGUACUUUAACUGCAAAGCCAUCAAUCCUAAAUAAUUCCAUUACCAAA